Molecule: long non-coding RNA, 562 nt
Organism: Lycium ferocissimum
Lineage: Eukaryota; Viridiplantae; Streptophyta; Magnoliopsida; Solanales; Solanaceae
Exons: 3
Source: RefSeq, a predicted model, not a curated record
UCCGAUUCAACCUAGCUUUGGUUAGACCAUUGUCGUAAUAAAAUAUAUGCUAUUAGUAUUUUAACAAUUUGCCUUGGGCUUAACAAUUUUUUUUUCUUUAGUAAACUUUAUAAGAUAUAUAUAGAUUCUUGUAUUUAUCAGAGCUAAUCACUUAUUUGAUGACAUACUGCCGAGGAGAAAAAAGGAAGAACGAGAGAAAGAUCUCAGCGGAGAAGAUGCGGCUAAAGCGGGCUAAAUUCAAAGGGAAAGUGAAAAAACCUUCAAAAGACGACUUAAAGAAAUAGUGACUUAAUGGCCCAGCCCAAUUGAACCUAAUUUGACGCUUGCCAAUAUUGUUCGUCAUAGGGAUUACAAUGAAGAGAUGCGGUGGGAUGAAUGAGGUCUUCCAUGAGAUGGAUGUACUUGUAAUUUUAUGGGAAAUGCUUUUGCCUAGCUCUAUGUAUGUAUUAAGAAAUCUACUAAAUGUUUUUAAAUAUUUGACUGUAAAUCCAGUUGUUAUCGUAUAUUAACUUGAGGUGGUUGUUGAAACUCAUAAGUUCCAAAUUUUGGAUCUGUGUGUGAA